GUUCCUGUCCAACGUUAAUCGGGGCAGGGUGAGUCGACCCCUAAGGCGAGGCCGAAAGGCGUAGUCGAUGGGAAACAGGUUAAUAUUCCUGUACUUGGUGUUACUGCGAAGGGGGGACGGAGAAGGCUAUGUUGGCCGGGCGACGGUUGUCCCGGUUUAAGCGUGUAGGCUGGUUUUCCAGGCAAAUCCGGAAAAUCAAGGCUGAGGCGUGAUGACGAGGCACUACGGUGCUGAAGCAACAAAUGCCCUGCUUCCAGGAAAAGCCUCUAAGCAUCAGGUAACAUCAAAUCGUACCCCAAACCGACACAGGUGGUCAGGUAGAGAAUACCAAGGCGCUUGAGAGAACUCGGGUGAAGGAACUAGGCAAAAUGGUGCCGUAACUUCGGGAGAA
Molecule: ribosomal RNA, 391 nt
Filed under: Escherichia coli
Lineage: Bacteria; Pseudomonadati; Pseudomonadota; Gammaproteobacteria; Enterobacterales; Enterobacteriaceae
Description: partial 23S ribosomal RNA
Rfam family: Bacterial large subunit ribosomal RNA
Source: RNAcentral